UACGAAGGGGGCUAGCGUUGUUCGGAAUCACUGGGCGUAAAGGGCGCGUAGGCGGCUGUUCAAGUCGGGGGUGAAAUCCCGUGGCUCAACCACGGAAUGGCCUUCGAUACUGGACGGCUCGAGACCGGAAGAGGUGAGUGGAACUGCGAGUGUAGAGGUGAAAUGCGCAGAUAUCGGGAGGAACACCUAUGGCGAAGGCAGCUCGCUGGGACGUUACUGACGCUGAGACGCGAAAGCGUGGGGAGCAAACAGG
RNAcentral lists this ribosomal RNA (253 nucleotides) under uncultured bacterium. RNAcentral's name for it is "partial 16S ribosomal RNA". It matches the Rfam family "Bacterial small subunit ribosomal RNA", at positions 524 to 776 of the family's 1533-position model. The record is from RNAcentral.